GAUGACCAAAAAAAGUGGAGAAACAAUCCUCCCUUUAAUAUUAGGUAAAGAAUGGAGUGAAUAGGGUUAUAUAUCAUCAUAUCUGCAUACAUAAUAUCUUCUAUAAUUAUUUACCGAUGUAGGCUCCUGUUGUUAGAUGGUGAACUUAUGCUCUUUUAUGCCAAGUAGUUAAAUUUAUGUGCACCUUCUUAAGUGUUUACUUGUUUCUGCUUUUAUAGUAUGGCUUGGUGGACCGAGGCCCUGCUGUGGAAAAAGAUCCUGAUAUGUUCGACCAUGCCGCCUUUAUGACCUAUUAAUGUGUUUUGAGCAUGUGACAAUUGUUUUCUCAAAUUUACGUGGUCUAUCUUAGAUUAGUAGUAAUCCUUCUCUAUGUUUCUGUAAUUUCAGUUCCUUAUGUUUGCCUUUAGAAAUUUCCUUUGCAUAUCCUGUUUUCUGCACAUCCCUCUUGUGGCCUGUUGUAAUGGUCUAAUGAACAGCCAUAUCAUGAUAUGAUUGCAUCGUUGCAUGAUAGUGUACCAUAUGCUCAUGCAUUUGUUUUCUUACCGAUGUUGUCCUAAUGAGUUGGCUGGCUUACAUGUAGUCUGCUGUAAAGGUCUACUUGUUUCAGGUAGCAUUGCUUUCUGGAAUACAUUAUUGGAACUUGGUAACCUUCCCUGGUUAUAGUCAGCAAGACAAGAAGAACAUACUUGUGUAUGAGUUCAUGCACAACGAAAGGAGCACCUUAGCUGAUGUUAAAUUUUCUCUUUGGAAUCAACAACACACUGUUGUAUAUACACGUGUGAUUCUUUCGCAGUAAAACUUUGCCUGUGCAGUUGUAUUUUGCUGAUUCAGGUUGUCUUAGCCUGCAACACUACGUCUAGGUUACCGCGUAGCCCAUUUCCUUUUAAGUGGGUACUUCCGAAUGAAAACUUGGAAUUACCUAAUAGGUGCAUACAUGAACUAUUGAUGGUGUGAAUAGAAACAACGGCAUUGGCGCAGACGCUUGGUGACCUUCACGUUGUUCCUCCAAGGCAGGCCAUGAGUGAUGGCAGCCGUGAGGUCAGCGUUGCUAGGAAAUAGGGAAAGGCUGCUGCCAAUUAUGCAAGAUACACACAUAGUUUGUGUUUGCUGUUUACAUGUCAGUUUUUUACCAUUUGAACUGUCUUUUAUAGACUGUAUAGUUCACAAAAAAGAAACUUUCGAUAAAGCAUAUAUGGGUUUGCAGUAGACCAUUCUAGACCAUAUUUCUUGAAUACAUAGUUUAUAGUAUUUUCUGGUUUUAAAUAUAUGAGAUUGCCCAUCUUAGUUAGUGGCACUGCUAUGCUUCACAGUAUACAAUGCUUGCAUGCCAAUAUAAUCAUAAGUGUUUUUUCGUUUUCAGGUGUUCUUAAUAUGGUGGGUGAUUGAAGCGAAAGCAUGAGGAGCAGUUCAAAGGGCGGAUGGAGCAUGUGACUUGUGUGGAAAUAACAAAUUUUCUUUUAGAUGAUUUGAGUGUAUGCUGAUGCGUGAAAGUCAAUCAUUUGGAUUCCCAACUAGCCUAUUGUGUGUGUUCAAUAUUUUGUUGCGCAUUGACAAAAUGUUUUCAGUGCCCGAGUGCGCAAGUUGAAUUUUGAAACAUAUGAGAGGAUAACCCUGCAAAAGGGAAUUUGCCCUUUAUGAAGGUUCGGGCUUGCUGUUGUAAUUAAAAGUAGGAGAUUUAUAUAUACCUAUAAUAGAAUAAUUCCUCAAGCUAAAGGCUUCUGUAACAUGUAACAUAUGAACUUUGUUUGUGCUAAUAAUUUUCCAGCCAUAGUAAAAGGCUAUGUUGCACAGGUA
Molecule: long non-coding RNA, 1794 nt
Filed under: Triticum aestivum (bread wheat)
Lineage: Eukaryota; Viridiplantae; Streptophyta; Magnoliopsida; Poales; Poaceae
Description: long non-coding RNA (TAES_LNC017542)
Source: RNAcentral